Molecule: ribosomal RNA, 252 nt
Filed under: uncultured microorganism
Description: partial 16S ribosomal RNA
Rfam family: Bacterial small subunit ribosomal RNA
Source: RNAcentral
UACGUAGGUCCCGAGCGUUGUCCGGAUUUAUUGGGCGUAAAGCGAGCGCAGGUGGUUUAAUAAGUCUGAUGUAAAAGGCAGUGGCUCAACCAUUGUGUGCAUUGGAAACUGUUAGACUUGAGUGCAGUAGAGGAGAGUGGAAUUCCAUGUGUAGCGGUGAAAUGCGUAGAUAUAUGGAAGAACACCGGUGGCGAAAGCGGCUCUCUGGACUGUAACUGACACUGAGGCUCGAAAGCGUGGGUAGCAAACAGG